RNAcentral lists this ribosomal RNA (253 nucleotides) under uncultured bacterium. RNAcentral's name for it is "partial 16S ribosomal RNA". It matches the Rfam family "Bacterial small subunit ribosomal RNA", at positions 524 to 776 of the family's 1533-position model. The record is from RNAcentral.
UACGUAGGGGGCAAGCGUUGUUCGGAAUCAUUGGGCGUAAAGGGCGUGUAGGUGGUUCUGUAUGUCUACCGUGAAAGCGUACGGCUCAACCGUAUUUAGUCGGUAGAAACUGCAGGACUUGAGGCUGGGAGGGGCUGGUGGAAUUCCCCGUGUAGCGGUGAAAUGCGUAGAGAUGGGGGAGAACACUCGUGGCGAAGGCGGCCAGCUAGACCAGUUCUGACACUGAGGCGCGAUAGCGUGGGGAGCAAACAGG